AAGUCGUAACAAGGUCUCCGUUGGUGAACCAGCGGAGGGAUCAUUACCGAAUGUUACCAAACAAAACCACUGUGAACCGUCCCUUUAGCUGCUUCGGCGGGCGAUCCCAGGGCGGGAAUCCCGGGCUCCUUCGGGGGUGCUCGCCGACGGCCACUUUCCAAGCUCUGUUUCCAGCGGGCUUCUGAGUGUAAAACAAAAAUAUCAAAACUUUCAACAACGGAUCUCUUGGCUCUG
This 234-nucleotide unclassified non-coding RNA is filed under the name fungal sp. Its description in RNAcentral is "partial internal transcribed spacer region". The stretch from base 1 to 46 matches the Rfam family "Eukaryotic small subunit ribosomal RNA", at positions 1786 to 1831 of the family's 1831-position model. The record is from RNAcentral. Lineage: Eukaryota; Fungi.